Molecule: long non-coding RNA, 2939 nt
Organism: Odontomachus brunneus
Lineage: Eukaryota; Metazoa; Arthropoda; Insecta; Hymenoptera; Formicidae
Exons: 5
Source: RefSeq, a predicted model, not a curated record
AUUAAUCGUCGAUUAGUUUAGUUUAAUCUCGGAAUUUAGCGAAAGUCAUCCCAACUGCUGCACGUGAAGCUUUUAGGGACUGCUGAGCGAAGGAUCACACGCAUAGCGGAACGCGUUAUGAAAAUAGGAAGUGCCGUUGGGGGCGCCAAGGUUGCGCACUUUCCGCCCUCGCGACGGCUAAUUAAGCAAGCCGUGAUGCAAUAACAACCAGAAUGCAGCCUUGGAGCCAGUCCGCCGUAGAAAAUGAAGCCGGGAAAAUCGCUAAUAUAUCACCCUCGGCUGAAAUCUUAAGAGUGAUUCCUUUUGCAUUUCUAACGAGGACGAUGAAUGAGUUUGAUCGACGAGUUUAAUCAGAGUUUAGUGAACGUCAUCCUUAAAGUUCAAAGCGACGUUUACAAUCACGUAGGACUAUAAUUCAAACGCGAGCCGGCAAAUAUACGAACGUGGAAUUCAUGUCAGCGGGCUCGUAGAAGCUAUCGGGUGGUGAUGCGGUCGAGACAGAGAAUACGCACUCAUCCUAGUUUCGCAAAUACCACUUUGACAAGAGAUUUCAACGUUAACAGGCGACAGGCCGGUGUCUCGGAUCGAGGUUGACUCGCUAAUGCAUCUUUCUGUAACGUGACGUUCCUUUCAAACAAAACGCCGACAGCUCCGUCAUUUCUCCGUGGUGGGAAGAAAUAAGUUCGCAAAAGGGAAGAACAUUCCGGGGAUAGCGUAAUGCUUUGAAAGAAAGGAGAUUUCAAAGAAGAGAGAGAGGGAGGGAGAGGGAGAGAGAGGGAGAGAGGGAAAGAGAGAGACAGAGACAGAGAGAGAGAGAGAGAGACAAAGAGAGAAAUAAUAAAAAGUAUCAAACGACGGCAACGCGCUCGCGCUAUCUCGAGCCAGCUGAGAAUCAACACUCAAUCAAGUUUAGACAUCCGACCUACUUCCGGCGAACCUGCCGUUCCGACGAGAGCCAAAAGCGCGGCGCCGCUUGCGCCUGCACUGCCUGGAAAUUCAUCGUCGGCAGCGCGGAACCGGAGAGUUAGCGCGCAAUCUUAUCGGGCCGUCGCGAUCGAUUAAUAUUCCGCGAUUGCGACGCGUCCUCUCCAUCGUUCCGCCCGAACUACCUCGUCCUCCUCCGCCACGGAGCGUUUCUUUUGUUCUCCUCGACUACGCUCUCUCGUGGAAAAGAAAAGUUCCCGCAGCGAUUACGCGCCAGAGAGACACAGGGGAGAGGGGUGGUGCCGGAUAACGGGGUGGAUAGGGGCCGCGGGGGGCAACGAGAGAGAGAGAGAGAGAGAGAGCGAGAGAGGAGAAGAGCGACGAGAACGAUGAGGAGAGCGAGACGGUGAGAGGAUGGGAGAGGCUGUGAGACGAGGAAAUUGGUUUUGCAUUACAAAGCCGGUGGUCCGCGAUAAUGGGGCACUCCGUAGGCGCAAGUACGCGAGCGCUUAUUCGCUAUGAAUUAUCCAAUUACAUUAUUAUCCGAGACCCCGCGGUUUCGAUCGCGCGCCGCAAUGCACCGGGCGGCUCGUUGAGCACGCGGCUGUUCCGCUUUUCGCGCGGAACGAAAUUUUCGGGACGGCGCGCAACGCGACGUGACGCGACGUCGCCAUCUUCUGUCUGUCUGCCUGGCUGGCUAGCUGGCUACUGGCUGACUACUGGCUGUCUGUCUGUCUGUCUGUCUCGUCGGAUACGUUCCGCGAAAUACGUAAAGCGCAGCUUGGACAAUGGCAUUCGGAAAUAUGAACGCUGCGAGAGGUCACAUCGUCGUGUGUAUCUCACGUGCGUAAACGUAGACGCGCGUGAACGUAAAUGUGAAAAAUAAUAAACACCUCGCGGAUUUGGCAAUUUGGGAAAGACGGAUGACGGUAAUGUCGAUUGAAAAUCAAGUUUGCAGAUUGCGAGAAGAUUGCGUUUACUCACGCUAUUCUGCGCCUCUAAUUUCUUCUUUGGAAAGCUUAACCUGUCGUCAUAAAAGAGAGAGAGAGAGAAAGCGAAGAGGGAGGAAGGUCUUCGCCAUGCGCGAACGAGGCCUCCCUUUGCUCGCAUAAUCAAUUUCGUUCUCCUCGCAUGAUCGGCAAACGCAACACGCUCGUCUCUCGCUAACGCAGUCUGGGAAUCGGAUAUGUACGUCGUAUAAAAGGUGAAGCGCCUUGGGAGAGACGGUCCCCUUCCCGGGUCGGGACGUGGAGAAACGGUGCGGGGAAAGAUGGAAAGAGGAAAGAAGCCGAUCCGGACUUUUCAAUAUCGGGCCAAGACGCGUUCGCUGGACCGUGACAAGCAUCGGGGACAUAAUAAAGUCUGGAUAAACGAGCAAGCCAUCUCAUCGCGACGAUAAAGUUCGAAAGUUUCGUCUCUCUUUCGCUCGCUAGCCCGAACUAUCGUCUCGUACCCAUUUGUCUAUAGAAACUGCUGGAUACUGGGUGUUCGUUAAUUAAGCGCAUUUGUCGAGUCACGGACGGUUGUUGAGCUAUGAACGGUAUGAUGGGGAAAGGUAAUUCACGGGAACAUAAACGGUGAUAAGAUUUUGCUUCCUGAGCGAUUCUACGUAAAUCUCAAUGCAAUCUUUCCUACCAUUUAAAACAUAUCGUUCUACCGUAAAAAUUUACGAACACAGCAUUUUGGUUAGUUUUCUGCAGGGAAAGAGAGAGAGAGAGAGAGGAGAAUAUUAACAUUAUAUAUGUGUGUGUGUAUAUAUAUAUAUAUAUAUCUUUUAAUGAGAUUCCUAAUUAGUAUCGUAGCGGAACAACCAAUUUUGAGACAAAUUUGGGUAUUCUGAUUAGAAUCUAUAUUAUAUCUCUAGGAAAAUUUUGGGAAAUUUCUAUACGGAAUAAUAAUCAUGUCUAAAAAUGUAUUGAUGUAAAUAUGUAUUCAUAUUAUUUAAAGUAAUAUAUUAAUAAAUGUCGGAGGAUGUCGGGAAAAAUCAGUGCAAAAUAUAAUAAGGGAACAGGAAA